AUGUGGACUCUGAUUGUAGGCAGCCAACCUGGGCUUCUCUCCAGUCAGGGGCAUAUGGUGAGGUCACAAUGGCUGAAGGGGAUGAGACAGAAGACGAUUGAUUUCAGAGCCAGAGAGAGUAAUCCUAUCAAAUGCAGGUGCACAGAAAUUAGGAGAUCAGAACAGCUCCUUGCAUUUCUUGCUACAUUUCCAGUAUUUUCCCAUUCCCUUGCUCAGUGCCUUGUCAGCACACCUAGAAUUGAGGGUGUGAUAAGAGAGGAGCAGAAAAGAACUGCGCAGCAAUGUUCUCCCAGCAGCUUGACGUCAUUCUGCAUUGGUUGGAGUGAGAUUGGACAGAGCGUGGCUGAAGCUGACAGGAAAGAGAUUAUGCAGGAGUAUGAAGUUAAACAAACAAGAGAAGAUGAAGGAGGAAAAGAAGAAGAUGGAGGAGGACAAAGUUUUCAGAAGUGCUUAUUAGAGCUAUUACAUGCCAAAUAUCUACUCUGUGGGAAAAGAAAAUUUCACAUUUUUAUCAACUCUGUAUUCACACAUCUGAUCAAGGUAACAUCUUAAAAUGGGUAGAUGAAAUAAUGAGAUGAAAAAAACAAAAAGAGAACCCAAAGAUAAGUUGAUAUAAAUGUCAAUGUAAUUCAUCUGAAAAACUCAUUCAUGUUGAGACUCUAAUUCAGCAAGAAGUGUUAACUUUAGUUGAAAGUAAAUUAAUCAAGUCUAGUAUCAUAGAUUAGUAAGUCAAGGCCCACCCAAGGUCAUAUAGUUAAUAUGUGACAGAAUUGCGAUUUUAUUAUACAGUACUAGAAUUAGAAAUCAGUUAGAGUCCCCUGAUGAAGAUUGAGUCUUUGUAAGCAUCUUCCAGUUUGGUAUAGAAAUGGGUUAAACAUUAAAUGUUGAUUGAGAAAAAUACCUAGACACCCCAGAAAUACUACUUAAACUUCAAGGAAGAUGAGUGUUGAUUUAUCCCACAAUCUCUA
Pan paniscus (pygmy chimpanzee) is the source of this 968-nucleotide long non-coding RNA. The record is from Ensembl. Lineage: Eukaryota; Metazoa; Chordata; Mammalia; Primates; Hominidae.